AGAGUUUGAUCAUGGCUCAGAUUGAACGCUGGCGGCAUGCUUUACACAUGCAAGUCGAACGGCAGCACAGGGAGCUUGCNCCCGGGUGGCGAGUGGCGGCACGGGUGAGUAAUACAUCGGAACGUGUCCUGUUGUGGGGGAUAACUGCUCGAAAGGGUGGCUAAUACCGCAUGAGACCUGAGGGUGAAAGCGGGGGAUCGCAAGACCUCGCGCAAUUGGAGCGGCCGAUGCCCGAUUAGCUAGUUGGUGAGGUAAAGGCUCACCAAGGCGACGAUCGGUAGCUGGUCUGAGAGGACGACCAGCCACACUGGGACUGAGACACGGCCCAGACUCCUACGGGAGGCAGCA
RNAcentral lists this ribosomal RNA (348 nucleotides) under uncultured bacterium. RNAcentral describes it as "bacterial SSU rRNA". It matches the Rfam family "Bacterial small subunit ribosomal RNA", at positions 8 to 353 of the family's 1533-position model. The record is from RNAcentral.